CAGUCGCCACGGUAAUACGAAGGGGGCUAGCGUUGUUCGGAAUUACUGGGCGUAAAGCGCACGUAGGCGGAUACUUAAGUCAGGGGUGAAAUCCCGGGGCUCAACUCCGGAAUUGCCUUUAAGACUGCAGAGCUAGCAGGUGAGAGAGGUAAGUGGAAUUCCGAGUGUAGAGGUGAAAUUCGUAGAUAUUCGGAAGAACACCAGUGGCGAAGGCGGCUUACUGGCUCAUACUGGACGCUGAGGUGCGAAAGCGUGGGGAGCAAACAGGAUUAGAUACCCCCGUAGUCCCUGUCUCUUAUAC
This 301-nucleotide ribosomal RNA is filed under the name uncultured bacterium. RNAcentral's name for it is "partial 16S ribosomal RNA". It matches the Rfam family "Bacterial small subunit ribosomal RNA", at positions 509 to 807 of the family's 1533-position model. The record is from RNAcentral.